AGGGCCUUCUCUUCGGAGACAGAGGAGACAGGUGGUGCAUGGUUGUCGUCAGCUCGUGUCGUGAGAUGUUGGGUUAAGUCCCGCAACGAGCGCAACCCUUGCUUCUAGUUGCCAGCAUUAAGUUGGGCACUCUAGAGGGACUGCCGGUGAUAAACCGGAGGAAGGUGGGGAUGACGUCAAAUCAUCAUGCCCUUUAUGUCCUGGGCUACACACGUGCUACAAUGGUCGGUACAGAGGGCAGCGACCUAGCGAUAGGAAGCGAAUCCCACAAAGCCGAUCCCAGUUCGGAUUGCAGGCUGCAACUCGCCUGCAUGAAGCCGGAGUUGCUAGUAAUCGUGGAUCAGAAUGCCACGGUGAAUGCGUUCCCGGGUCUUGUACACACCGA
RNAcentral lists this ribosomal RNA (385 nucleotides) under Clostridium sp. enrichment culture. Its description in RNAcentral is "bacterial SSU rRNA". It matches the Rfam family "Bacterial small subunit ribosomal RNA", at positions 1008 to 1393 of the family's 1533-position model. The record is from RNAcentral. Lineage: Bacteria; Bacillati; Bacillota; Clostridia; Eubacteriales; Clostridiaceae.